AUCUAUGACCAUACCGCCCUGAAAACCCACAAUCUAGGCUGAUUUCAAAUUAAGCAGGGACAGGCCUGGUUGGUACUUGGAUGAGAGAAAAAAAUAAGAAAUUAAGAUU
This 109-nucleotide ribosomal RNA is filed under the name Carlito syrichta (Philippine tarsier). Lineage: Eukaryota; Metazoa; Chordata; Mammalia; Primates; Tarsiidae. The record is from RNAcentral.